Cervus elaphus (red deer) is the source of this 1141-nucleotide long non-coding RNA. RefSeq lists it as uncharacterized. The record is from RefSeq and is a predicted model, not a curated record. NCBI's taxonomy places the organism in Eukaryota, Metazoa, Chordata, Mammalia, Artiodactyla, Cervidae. The transcript is spliced from 2 exons.
CAUCACAAUAUCUUCUCCUUUCUGUUGAAAUGAUUUUAUUAAUAAGUUAAUUCCUUUCUGAUUAAACAAAAAUUAAUUUAACAGUUUAUAGCCUAAAAUGUAGCCCAUGUUCCUUUUUCCAUAGCACCAUCCUUCCUGCUACAGAAGUUCAAAUGUAAAAAUUUCCUCUCAUAUACAAAUAGAGAGCUCUUGCUGUCUGGGUUAUACUAAUGAUGCUACCUCAACUAGAGAAUUACCCCCUUGCUCAGUACAGAAGCAAAAUCUAGACGAUAAUAAAUUUCUAGCAGAAAUAUUUGAGAGCCCUGAUGACUUAAUCUGGUUACUGUAAAGUGAAACUGGUUAAAGACAAAAGCUUCUUGAAGAAAAUUCAAGAGGAAAUUUUAAUGCUGGCAAUAAAAAUGGUCAGCUGUAUAGAAAGACAAGGCUGUAUGGAGAUAGUUAGGUUGCUUCCUAAUGACGACAGCCACCUGAUACCAACUUCUGGGUUGUUUUUUUGUUUGUUUGUUUAUUUUUGUUGUUUAUUUGUUUUCCAGUACACAGCCUCAGAUAAUCAGGAACAGCAAGUGUGUGCCGUGUUGGAUAAAGAUGCACAGCUCUUCCCCAUCACACUGUGAAUGUCAUGAAGGCAGGGCUUCGGGCUCAGCCCUCUCUGGACCUAUGAUGCCUAACAUGUUUCUUGGCCCAGAACUUGUUGAAUGGGAGAAGGAAGAAGCCCAGGAAGGAACAAUGAUACAGCAGAACCAAGAACUGUCUCAAGGCCAAAGAUAUUCACUACCCAAGGACUUAUAAAGUUAGAAAGAGACCGAAGAAGAGGCAGACUGGGGAGUCGUGGCUGGGAGCUGUGGAGGAGAGCGGUUCUGCCUUUGCGUCAAAUGCUCAAAUGCGGCACUCUGAAAGGCGCUGCUGUAAUUCAGCUACCCAGCUUGCACUUGAAGCCAAAUGAAAUGCAAACUUGCCUUUCAAUAGCAAACCUCACUGAGGAAACGCCAGUUAGCGAUGGUGAGAAGUUUCAGCUACUAUAUUUUCACAUAUUCAGUUUUACCACUAAAAGUCCGUGAGAAAAACAUUUGGAGGCUCUUUAAGGCUGGUUACAUUAUCAAUUAAUCCAUAGUGUGUUUUAAAUAAAUAUUUCUAUUAAAUG